AGCUGCGUUCUUUUCUCUGGUUUCCCUGGAGAAACAGAUUCGAUUCCCCUAAACUCUCACCGACACACGCGGUCGAUUCGAAGCCUUUGGAGACGUAUCUUAGUGGUAGAGCGCUUACCUAGCAAGUGUAAUUCCCUGGGAUCGACCCAGCACCGAGCCAGCGGCGGUAAUCCGGGAAUAAUUUAACUCAAACUAAGAGUGGCCCGGAGGGAGAGAAGCUCUGGCCUAAACAGAUGUCAAUAGUAGUCCUGCCUGGGUGCUGUUAUUGUCCCUCCUGCUACUACACUCCAAGUCUGGGUUUGGAGGAUGAGCAUGCCCUGCAGAACGGGAUGUGUGAACCGGCUGAUUGUAGGUGGCUGCAGAGGCCAGGAGGCAUCAGAUUCCCUGCAGAACUGGAGUUACCGGCGGUUGUGAGCCACUUGAUGUGGGUGCUGAGAAUUGAACCUGGGUCUCUCCAGCUUCUGCUCUCCCCUCCGCCUUUAGUUUUUUGAGAGUGGAUCUGAUGAAGCUCAGAACUGGUCUUGAACUCCCAAUCUCCAGCCUCCACCUUCCAAGUGCUGAGUGAGAAUGACGUGGAAUCAGUCUCUUGCAGUACUGUACUGAAAAGAAAAAAAUCUUCUCUUGCAGUGCUGGGAACAAGUCUAGGGUCUCUCAGCUAGGGAACUUCAUCCCCAAUCCCUAUUAGACCUUUAUUCAUCAGCCCUAAGGUCCAUAUCUCUGGUUUAGUGAAGAAAUGAAUGCCUCAAGGAGGCAGAGCUGGCACAUGGCCCCUAGAGUUCCCACGGCCACACCCACAAUCUUUCAAUUCCUUGCAUUGGAACUCCAUUCAGCUACCACUGAGAUUCCCAGCAGAAAUAAGGGAGGAAGCCUGCAAUCCCAGAACUGGUGAGGCUGAGGCAAGAAGAUUGCAAUGAGUUCAAGACCAGCCUGGGAUACACAACGCUCUACGGAGGAAGUGCAGAGGCAGAGGGCGACCCAAACUGAAGUUUAGAACUCUAAGAAUCUUCAUUUCCAUCUGUCUGAUUUGAUGCUUAGUAACCCAUGUAAAGGUGGAAGGAGAACCAAUCUUGAAAGCUGUCCUGACCCCGCCCCCGACGCACACCCACACCACCCAGUCACAGAGGACCAAAUUAACCUGAGAAGACAGCGCUGGGGACGCAGUUCAGUGGGAAAGUACCCGCUUAGCAUGCACAA
Molecule: long non-coding RNA, 1194 nt
Organism: Peromyscus eremicus (cactus mouse)
Lineage: Eukaryota; Metazoa; Chordata; Mammalia; Rodentia; Cricetidae
Exons: 3
Source: RefSeq, a predicted model, not a curated record